Molecule: unclassified non-coding RNA, 378 nt
Filed under: plant metagenome
Description: partial contains 5.8S ribosomal RNA, internal transcribed spacer 2, and large subunit ribosomal RNA
Rfam family: 5.8S ribosomal RNA (bases 1-105)
Source: RNAcentral
GAAAUGCGAUAAGUAAUGUGAAUUGCAGAAUUCAGUGAAUCAUCGAAUCUUUGAACGCACCUUGCGCUCCUUGGUAUUACUUGGAGCAUGCCUGUUUGAGUAUCAUGAAAUCUUCAAAGUAAAUCUUUUGUUAACUCAAUUGGUUUCUACUUUGGUAUUGGAGGUCUUUGCAGCUUCACACCUGCUCCUCUUUGUUCAUUAGCUGGAUCUCAGUGUUAUGCUUGGUUCCACUCGGCGUGAUAAGUUAUCUAUCGCUGAGGACACUGUAAAAGGUGGCCAAGGUAAAUGCAGAUGAACCGCUUCUAAUAGUCCAUUGACUUGGACAAUACUUUUAUGAUCUGAUCUCAAAUCAGGUAGGACUACCCGCUGAACUUAAGC